Molecule: long non-coding RNA, 2116 nt
Organism: Homo sapiens (human)
Lineage: Eukaryota; Metazoa; Chordata; Mammalia; Primates; Hominidae
Product: long intergenic non-protein coding RNA 2609
Source: Ensembl
AGAGGCCUCCCUUCCGAGGAGGCGGUGCUGGGGCGGGCGCAGGACUGCAGGCUGGGGCUCCGCUCCCCGGCGGGAGCCCGCGCGUGGUUCCCAGCGAAGUCCCCGCGCGGCUGGGCCCAGCGAGGAUGAGGCUGUCACUACUACAGUUGGGACUGUUUCAUACUCCGUGCUCUUGUGCUAUGCCAGGGGGUACUGUCUAACCCACAAGUCUCUGCCAGGAAUGUUGCUGUCCACACUGGAGUGUAAGACACCUGCGGAGCUCGUCUAUGGGGCUCAUGUUGGCUGAGGCUCUGAACUACAGAACUGCAAACAACCAAGGGAGCGCCCCAGGCCCCAGGCUUCUAAUGUGAGGAAAAACACGGAAUGACAAGUGUGGGAAAGAGCAAGCACUAAAUUACUGUCAGAAAAAUAAACGGAGUAGCACAGUGCUGCUCGGUGAUUUACGGGGGCAAUUAGUCACCACCCCACGGCGCUGCUGAGGACAGCACGGCAGCAGACAAGUCAGGCCCAUGAGGAAGAAGAGGCUUUGCACUGCUCUCCAGACAACUUUUCAAACAACAAGAGAGGAUAUUUGAGCACAUUAGGUUUUGUGUCUUCAUUCUGGGUACCUACUCUUCAUAUUAUUCUACCAACUUAAUACAUAAACAUAUUUUUAGCACAAUAUGAACCUGUUCUAUGUGUGUUUAAAAGCCUCCAGCAGCAACUUUUUUCUCUCCCACUGUCCAAAGUUGGGUUUUCCCCAUCCCUUAAAAAACAAAACAAAAAAACCUUUCUUCACUCCAAAUUGUCCCCCUGGUGUGUGGUUUUGGUCUUUCUCAUUACUUCUUGCAUCUUGCUACAUGUUCUGCAUUUGCUCAGAGCCACUGGGUGCUAAGGAAUUUGGUCUGCUGCUCCUCUGGGAAAGUUUGGUAAGCUGGUACAAGGAGGUGAUGAACAAGGCUAAAUGAAAAUCAUACAUAAACUUCCCAAUAUUUGUGAACAUGUUCUUUAACAUACCAUACAUAGUUUCUAUGUAUAUGUAACAUAGCAAAACAAACUUGCUAAGGUAUAAUUAAUUGGUAUGCAUGCCUUCAUAAAUAUUCACCAUCAGAAGAAACCUAGAAUGAAAGGUUGUGAAAGAACCCAGGAAUGAGAAAGACUUUAUUGACUAAAGGCCAUGUCUAUGUAGGGGCAACAAUGAAGCUGUGGGUGAGCAAAUGAAGCUUCAUCAGGAGUUUAGUAUCCUUAUGUAGCAUUACCUAAGAAUGCUACCAUAGUAAAUUUCUGAAGUACUUUACCUGUUACAAAGAACGUUUGUAAUCUCCUUUUCUUAUUUGAUCUUGCCCUGGCUUUAGUCAGGAACACCUGCUCAGUUAGAAAUGUAUUCGGUGGGUAUGUACGCAGUUGGAGAAUGUGCCCCAACACACGCCGCCUUUGGCCUGUAUGUUGGAGUCCUAGAGAGGCAGACAAUGUUGAUGAGCUUGGUACCAGCAUGGUGCGCCAUUCAUCCGGACACAAUUUCUGAUAAAGAGGGUCACAACUGGGAGAAACCUCAGAUUCUACUUGCUUCUCUUCUCCACGUUAUUAGACUUUUUUUCCCCUCUUGAAUUUUAUAAGCACACUCCUUUUAAAACAAUUAAUUAAUAACGAGCACUGGGAUUUGAUGUAGAAUUGCGUAUUUGUAACUGCAAUGGCACUGGUUUUCAACUACCCUGUAACAAGGAAGCAAUUCUAACCAGCAAAAGAGGCAGACGUGUUUCUGUGCAACAUCACAGGCGUGUGAAAUUGUUCAGAUAUUGAGAUAUCAGGAGUGAUAUAAAUUGGAAAUUUAACCAAAAAUAUUUUCCAUCAGUGAACAAAGCCGAUUUUAAAGUGCCUCUUGCAUUUUUCAGAUCUUUCUCUUUCUUUUUCCCAAAGUCACAUUGUAGUUUCUGAUAAAGGAACACACUGGGAAAACUAAGCACAUAUUUAAUCAAUGAAAUUUAAGGUGUAAAAAUUCUGCAUUUCUGACAAAUUUAAUGUUCACUUUUUUCUUGAUUUAAAUAGAGCAUUCUAAAAAUAUUACCCCUAUAGGGGAUAAAUUUUUAUAUGCAUGUUAUUUUUCUUUACAAAGUGUGGGCUAGUAAAGAGUGAAAAA